AUGGCUUUAAUUACAGCUCUUCUGGGCUCUGGUCUACAGCAUCUCCGUCUGCUCGUCAGGGGAGGCUGGGGGGUGGCGAGGGGGCCGGCGGGCUGGGUGAAGGGCCGGGGUUCCCGGACAGCCUUGCCAAGACUCUGGCUGGUGCCAAGCCCAGGGCAGCCGCGGCCAAGGCCGGGCUGGGGCGGGGGCUGCUGCUGGGCUCCGUCCAGGCCACUCGGGGCAGGCGGGCGGGCGGUGGUCUCCCUCCCUCCUCCCCCGCCGGCCACCCGCCCGCCUGCCUCAGACACAAAAUGGCGGAGGGCUGCGGCGGCCAUUUUGUGGAGCCCCAGAAAGACAAAGGCAGCCAACAGCCCGGGGCAGGGACGGGCCCCGCAGCGGCAGGGAGGGGUAACGUCCACUCCGGAAGUGCGGCCGCCUGUCCUGCGUGGAGGCCCAGGGGGACCUGGCCAGAAAAAGUUGGGGGGGGGGCAGGCAGUGCCUUCUCUGGAAGCUUCCUCCUGCCCAAGCUCCCGCCACCCUGAGCUUACCCUCUCGAGGGGCUCGGGGUGGUCUGGGGAGAAGCUCUUGCCCAGGGCGGUGGCACUGACGCUCUCCCGCCUUACGGAGGAGACGGCCCGGCUCGGGGCGGCGAUGCGGGGAGGCAGGCGAGAGUGUAGGCUCAUGGCCUCCUUCCACAGGAAAAUCCUCCUUUGCCCCAGACCCUCGAAGGGUGGUCUUCAUUUGCCUGGUGGCGGGGUGGCCUCUGACCAGAUGGCCGGAGGGGCUGGCCCGCAUUCCGGGGACAUCCCAGCACAUCCCACCCCGGGGUCCAGGCUGCCGGCUUCUUCCUGCCCAUUGCUGGCAGGCGCAGGGACAGCUGGCAGGACCGGCCGUGCCAGGGCAGCGCCGGGGGCGGGGACACCGGGGAGACCGGCCCCAGCCCCUCCCCGACCUCCCACAGCACCCAGGGCCCUGCCCGACGGGACCCCGAGCCACGUCCCAAACCUGGAGGCUCCUGUUCUGCCUCCGUCCGGUGACAGCCCACCUCCCGUUCGUGUCCCCUCUGGGGAGCCCCUGCCCACGUCCUGUGGGCGAGAGGCGCUGCCCCAUCAAACACCCGCUGGACAGGAAGCCCCCUCUGCCGCACCGUCCGAUGGGCGGUGGGUACACCCCAAGGGCCCACGUCUUUCCGACUCUGUGCUGCCCGUGGUCUCCGCACCUUUAGCACGUCUCGCUCAGAACCCCAGGUGGAAGGCAGAUACACGCAGGACUGCUCCGGGGGCCCUGGGCCCAGGCACAGGCCACCCCUCCCUGACUGUGCAGAGGCAAAGCCUGGGCCCAGGCCAAUCCCACUUUACAGACGGGCAGACUGAGACCAAGGGUCCGGGGAGACGGUCCUCUCUCACACAGCUGGGGCCUUGUGCUCUGACGGGGACAGGCUGA
RNAcentral lists this long non-coding RNA (1422 nucleotides) under Felis catus (domestic cat). Its description in RNAcentral is "lncRNA (ENSFCAG00000048841.1)". The record is from RNAcentral. Lineage: Eukaryota; Metazoa; Chordata; Mammalia; Carnivora; Felidae.